CAGUCGCCGCGGGAAUACGAAGGGGGCUAGCGUUGUUCGGAUUUACUGGGCGUAAAGCGCACGUAGGCGGACUUUUAAGUCAGGGGUGAAAUCCCGGGGCUCAACCCCGGAACUGCCUUUGAUACUGGAAGUCUUGAGUAUGGUAGAGGUGAGUGGAAUUCCGAGUGUAGAGGUGAAAUUCGUAGAUAUUCGGAGGAACACCAGUGGCGAAGGCGGCUCACUGGACCAUUACUGACGCUGAGGUGCGAAAGCGUGGGGAGCAAACAGGAUUAGAUACCCGCGUAGUCCCUGUCUCUUAUAC
This 301-nucleotide ribosomal RNA is filed under the name uncultured bacterium. Its description in RNAcentral is "partial 16S ribosomal RNA". It matches the Rfam family "Bacterial small subunit ribosomal RNA", at positions 509 to 807 of the family's 1533-position model. The record is from RNAcentral.